This 514-nucleotide ribosomal RNA is filed under the name Pediococcus pentosaceus. RNAcentral describes it as "bacterial SSU rRNA". It matches the Rfam family "Bacterial small subunit ribosomal RNA", at positions 922 to 1437 of the family's 1533-position model. The record is from RNAcentral. Lineage: Bacteria; Bacillati; Bacillota; Bacilli; Lactobacillales; Lactobacillaceae.
CGCUCAAGCGGUGGAGCAUGUGGUUUAAUUCGAAGCUACGCGAAGAACCUUACCAGGUCUUGACAUCUUCUGACAGUCUAAGAGAUUAGAGGUUCCCUUCGGGGACAGAAUGACAGGUGGUGCAUGGUUGUCGUCAGCUCGUGUCGUGAGAUGUUGGGUUAAGUCCCGCAACGAGCGCAACCCUUAUUACUAGUUGCCAGCAUUAAGUUGGGCACUCUAGUGAGACUGCCGGUGACAAACCGGAGGAAGGUGGGGACGACGUCAAAUCAUCAUGCCCCUUAUGACCUGGGCUACACACGUGCUACAAUGGAUGGUACAACGAGUCGCGAGACCGCGAGGUUAAGCUAAUCUCUUAAAACCAUUCUCAGUUCGGACUGUAGGCUGCAACUCGCCUACACGAAGUCGGAAUCGCUAGUAAUCGCGGAUCAGCAUGCCGCGGUGAAUACGUUCCCGGGCCUUGUACACACCGCCCGUCACACCAUGAGAGUUUGUAACACCCAAAGCCGGUGGGGUA